GCCUCCUUAGUUAAAUGGCAGAACAGCGGUUUUGUAAACCGCAAACGUCAGUUCGAUUCUGACAGGAGGCUCCA
This 74-nucleotide transfer RNA is filed under the name Candidatus Uhrbacteria bacterium RIFCSPHIGHO2_01_FULL_47_11. RNAcentral describes it as "tRNA-Thr". It matches the Rfam family "tRNA". Rfam says of the family: Transfer RNA (tRNA) molecules are approximately 80 nucleotides in length. Their secondary structure includes four short double-helical elements and three loops (D, anti-codon, and T loops). Further hydrogen bonds mediate the characteristic L-shaped molecular structure. tRNAs have two regions of fundamental functional importance: the anti-codon, which is responsible for specific mRNA codon recognition, and the 3' end, to which the tRNAs corresponding amino acid is attached (by aminoacyl-tRNA synthetases). tRNAs cope with the degeneracy of the genetic code in two manners: having more than one tRNA (with a specific anti-codon) for a particular amino acid; and 'wobble' base-pairing, i.e. permitting non-standard base-pairing at the 3rd anti-codon position. Lineage: Bacteria; Candidatus Uhriibacteriota. RNAcentral also lists the same sequence under 5 other names. The record is from RNAcentral.